UCUGCUGCGGUUUGGAAAAAAAGAAUCUCUCCCUCGGUAACGGCGGCUCAGCAGUGCUGUCCGCUGCAUGUGGUGUGGUUCUAGUAUUUUCUUUCCCUUAUAUCGUUGGAGUGUUGCGGUGUAACACUGCCGGUGGGUAGAGAGUUGGUGGUGGCGCUGGCUCCGCGCUGCCAUUGUGUGGAGCGACGACAACCCUUGGUCUUCCGUUUUGAUUCCUCAACGACUGUAUGGCAGCAUUGUUGCUUGUGCUGCAGGAUCAUUCGCGCUCCGCAGGUUUGUUGCUGUUGAACUAGGAGUAGAGCUUUGAAUCUAAAAGAGGGCGAAGCGCUUAGGUGGAUCUAGUUUUUUCCUUCCCCUUGUGAUUGCGGCCCAACGAGGGUCAAUUUUGUGUUCGAAGCGGUUGCUGCGCCGUUGUUCGGAGGAGCCAGUAAUCUGGUCGCAAUCGUUAUGAACGAGCUUUGAUUUCCCUCUUCCUGUUGGUGGUGUUGCGUUGAGGCUAGAUUUUCUGUUCUUAUCCGACCAACACAAUUCUCCUCGUGAAGUUGCUCACAUUGCAAAUCAAAAUUUCGAGAGAUUUUCCUUGUCGGCAUCCUGUGCUCUCCAUCGAACCCUCGCCGUGGAGUUGUUAUCUACAACCUUGGCUUCUUGACCACCGCAUUGGUAGCAGCAACUAUUGCCGAUUUUGCGAUACGACAAGUUGCUGAUCAAGAUCUCGUCAUCAUCAACAUCGAUUGUUAUUUUCUGUCGAUAUCUCCGAAUUGCCGGCUUCUAAGCGGUGGUCUUCUCAUGUCAUUUGGAUCCGAUUGUGACUUACUAUGGGCUGCAGCCAUCGUCAAGAUUAAGUUCUGAUUUUUGAAGAGAUUUCUGAAUGUGUUACAGUAGCGAAUAGGAGCACGGUCCAUUUUACUAGGUUAGGCUGCAUGCUCAUUGUUGGAUAAUUGGCCUUACCUUCGGUUAUUAGCUCCCUCACGCAUUGGAAGGGAAGUCCAUUCACAAGCUGAGCAAUCGAGAAGGCUACUCUUCACAAGGGGGGUUGUUGCUAAUUGCUAUUCCUAAAAGUUCCAAGGGAGAGUCGGGUGAAUCCAUGUUGGAGUUUUCUGCGAGUAAUCCUCUGUGGUCGUGCAUAUCUUCAUCGGCAUAACCAAUGUGGUCGGUUCAAGACGGCAAAUCAUUGCCAGACACCCAGCAUCAUCAGUAAGGAGGGUGAAGGACUGGAGCUGCGAAUUGGAAGAGAGUGAGUCCUCCCACUGUGCACAGCUAGUUGUUUUUCUCCAUCCUUCUUGGCCAUUGUAUAGAAGAAAAAUAAAAUAAAAUAUAUGAUAAACCAUUUACAUAGAAUUUAAAAUUGUCAAGAGGUGCCUUUAAAGUGGUGUUUAAAGUAGGUUUAAGUUGGAUGAAUUUAGGGUUUGAAAGGAUGAUAAAAAGUGGAUGUAGCUAGAUUAAGAAUAGAUGAAUGAAUUUGAUAGAUGAUUUUUGGCUAAAGUGAAUGAAUUUUUAUUUGUGGAUGGAAA
This is a non-coding RNA of Physcomitrium patens, 1511 nucleotides long. The record is from RefSeq and is a predicted model, not a curated record. Lineage: Eukaryota; Viridiplantae; Streptophyta; Bryopsida; Funariales; Funariaceae.